RNAcentral lists this long non-coding RNA (2773 nucleotides) under Mus musculus (house mouse). Its description in RNAcentral is "long non-coding RNA chr2:67654149-67656922". The record is from RNAcentral. Lineage: Eukaryota; Metazoa; Chordata; Mammalia; Rodentia; Muridae.
UUUUUUUUUUUUUUUUUGGCUAUGUCCAUGUCAGCAGUACACAUUCACGCUGCCUAGACUUCAUCUCACCAAAGUUUGUAGGCUAACAUCUUAGAUUUCUCUAACAUGUUCCAAAAUCUCCUGGAAGGGACUGAUCCUUUGCAUUUUGUGUUUCCAGCUCUGUGGCCUUCCAGAUCAUCAGCAGUGUCGUCAGUAUCCUCUUCCACCACAAUGCCACCAACUCCCUCAAUGCUGAGAAUCAGUCAUCUGAAGCCCAGUGAUGCUUCAGAGGAAGAAGUAGAAUAAAAUUAGUUAUUUCCUAACCAUUUAGUAUUUCUUACCUUUCUGCCGCUCUUGAGCCAAAUAAUCUCUUAUACAUUGCCACCACCUUCCCUUUGAGAGAUCACCAGAGAUGUGAUCUUUCUUGCUAUGAGUUGGUAAAUAUAUACUGAGUUGACUAUAUCAUAUUGAGACCUGUAACGUCAGGUCUGUGGUAGAAAGACCAGUGUUACAAUGAGAGGAGCAAUAACUAACAUCUAUUCAUAGCUUUUGAAUCAGGGAACUAAGGGCUAAAGGCUUGUAGAGCUUCCAAAAGUCAUAUUACAAAAGAAAUAACAAAAUUGGGCUUUGAAAUAAAACACCACAAAUUCAGAGAUGCUGCUGUGUUCUUACACAGCUUUCCCUUAACCAACCUAGUUAUACUAAGAAAGUCUUUGAAGUCUAUCCAAGACAAGCCCUUGGUGGCCAUAGAAUUCCACAACACAGCUCAAACCCAGGAGGAUGUCUGCUUAUAAGCUCUAUUGAUGCAUCUCCCCAUUUUCCACGGACAAACCCAGUAAGAAGUAGAAGUAUUUAUAAACUUCCAUGUAUGUUUAUGGAACACACUCUAAGCAAAGCAAAUGGUGCUCGGAUCCUUUGAUCUUCUCUAUUUUUCCCUGUCUCCUCUGUCAUGCUGUUUGCAGUGGGGAAGUGAAAACAAGUUGAUUCUCUACCCCAAGCCUUUAGUGGCUUUGCUAAUUGAUGGAGACUACAACUGAAGUCUGCGCCCAGUGGGGAUUCUGGUUAUUGGGUUCUCCAGAGGGAAUCUAGCACAGUGCUUCCUCUAUAGAUGCUAAUGAAGUUCACCUAAGUUCAGGAGCUCCCCGGGGUGCCUGAGCAGGCCAUUUUGUGCAUCACUGCACUGCUCAUACUGUCUGAAGAAAAUAGGGUGAAAAUGAAAUUCUGUCUCUUAAACCUAGCUUAUUAGAUCACUGCAGAGGCCGAUGGUGGGUUGACUAUCUCUUAUCUGAAAUGCUUUGGAUCUAAAGAUAUUUAUUUACAUUGUGGAUAGUUUUGGGUCUUGGAAUGUCUGAGUCAUAAUAAAGUGAUUUUGGGCUGGGAGCCAAGUUUAAACAUAAAAUUGUUUUAUUUUAUAUGUGCCAUAUAUACAUAGAUUUAAAGUAAUUUUAUUGAACACAAUUACUUUGCCUGCAUUCUGUCUAUGAGACCAGGCAUCGAAAUUUCUUCUGUGUCAAGUGAGUAUUUAAAUUUCAGAUUUGGAGGCACUUUGGAUUUUCAUCCAGGGCAGGUUGAGCCAGUACUAGUUUUAUAUUGAGAAAUGAAGUAGAAGACUGGGGAGUGAAACAUAAAGCAAUGUACACCAACACAGCCAAUCUCCCUUUCCUAGGGAUCUGGUUCUGCACACACCUAGUACUGCCAGGUCUUAAAAGCUUUCCAAAUAAUUCUGACGUCCCAAACUGGUUUAAAAAUGGGAACGACAGUCUCAAAUUAUGCAACUCUCUCCAUAUAUAGUCACCAUCUAAUGAUAAAGUUUGAGACAGAAUCUUCUGUUGGCAUGCCCAUUCCGCGUUCCUGAGGCUUAGGGUGUAUCAAAGAGGAGCUGGACUCUAACUGGGAAGGGGCUUACUGCUGGCAAUAGAACAAAAUCCUUAGUUAUUUUUACAGUAAUUUUCAAAGAAUAUCAUAUUUUCAUUCUUUUUGGAAACUAUAAUUACAUCUUUCCUCUUUUCCUUGCCUCUCUUCAGACAGUCUCAUGUAUACCCUCUACCCCAGUGUCUAGUAUCUUUUACGUUCAUGACCUCUUUUGUUUGAAAACUGGAUUUUAAAAUAUAACCUUCCCUUUUCCUAAUUAAAAUUUGCACUAAUUGUAAAAUAGAUGAAAGAGGCGUCAGGAUGGAUGAACAGGGCUGUAUACAUGCUUUCUCGAUCCUAUAGUCCUCUACUAGAUUAUCUGGGCGCUCCAGAGGGUACAGUUGUAACUACUGUUUGACUGUCAUUUAUCAGUCCUUUCACUUAUGAACGGGAGGUUAAAUGGAAUGACAUCACUGGCCCCUGAAAAAGCCCUGUUAGAACAGGAGUCCUCACAGCUAGUGGGAUGCACUUUACUUUAAUGUAUUUAUUUGCUUCUGCCAAGAGAGGGCAUUAAAAGAUGCAGUGGGAAGCCACUGUCUCCAUUAACAUUUGAACAACAAUAUGCUGUUCCUAAACUUAGAUGUAUAAUCACUCACAUAAAUGGAACCAUACAUGUAAAAUUAAAUUAGCUUUAUUAUGCCAUUAAAGGAACCAUUUGAUUUUGUCAGUUGGGAAAAAUCUUAUAAAAUCGGAUGUUGAAUUAAUUAAGUAGAGUAAUAUAAUGAAACUUCAGUGUGUGAAAUCUGAUCUGGAUAAGGCCCUGUAGAGGAGGCAAUGUGCUAGCUUACAUGAAAUCUCAGAGAUUCUCUAAUAAACAUCUAAUGGGAAAACACAGGUUGUAAGGUAUUUUAUUCCUUAUACCAUUGAAAGACUAAUCCACAUG